Molecule: long non-coding RNA, 502 nt
Organism: Girardinichthys multiradiatus
Lineage: Eukaryota; Metazoa; Chordata; Actinopteri; Cyprinodontiformes; Goodeidae
Exons: 4
Source: RefSeq, a predicted model, not a curated record
AGAAGAAGAAGAAGCAGGACUGGCGCUAAGAUGACGGACCAAGAAAGUACGGUACAAAGCCAGUUAGCGGAUAUUCUGAACAGAAGGUUAAGUUCUCCAGGGACGGUCAGGCCAGUUAGACGGGAAAAUGCAAGACAGUCUGUUGAGGGACAGACAACCCAAAUGGGGACAACUUCACAGUCAGGACAACUAAUAAGAUGUCCUCAGGGUAGUGGCUCUGGACAGUCAGUGCAUCAAGAAAUGGCGAGGUCUUUUCCUGGACUUUUUCGCAGAGAGGCAAGACGUUUCGCACCCUAUGCACGACUACAAAAAGGUUUUCUGGUUAACUUUUUCUUACUUGAUAGACAGCGUUCAAAAACACCCAAAGGAGAUGAAGAGCUGCAGCUCAUACUGGCUGGUCUUGGGAAAAGGUCUCUCACAGUAAACGAAAGCUUCAGACAUUCCGAGAAAUGAUUGCUGAGAUCGAAAAGAAACUAUUUGUGGGCAGUGCUGACAAGAAAGG